Molecule: ribosomal RNA, 465 nt
Filed under: uncultured bacterium
Lineage: Bacteria
Description: partial 16S ribosomal RNA
Rfam family: Bacterial small subunit ribosomal RNA
Source: RNAcentral
CUACGGGCUGCUACAGUGGGGAAUAUUGCACAAUGGGCGCAAGCCUGAUGCAGCCAUGCCGCGUGUAUGAAGAAGGCCUUCGGGUUGUAAAGUACUUUCAGCGGGGAGGAAGGGAGUAAAGUUAAUACCUUUGCUCAUUGACGUUACCCGCAGAAGAAGCACCGGCUAACUCCGUGCCAGCAGCCGCGGUAAUACGGAGGGGUGCAAGCGUUAAUCGGAAUUACUGGGCGUAAAGCGCACGCAGGCGGUUUGUUAAGUCAGAUGUGAAAUCCCCGGGCUCAACCUGGGAACUGCAUCUGAUACUGGCAAGCUUGAGUCUCGUAGAGGGGGGUAGAAUUCCAGGUGUAGCGGUGAAAUGCGUAGAGAUCUGGAGGAAUACCGGUGGCGAAGGCGGCCCCCUGGACGAAGACUGACGCUCAGGUGCGAAAGCGUGGGGAGCAAACAGGAUUAGAUACCCCUGUAGUC